UACAGGGAGCAAGGAGAGGGAGCUAUGAAAAAAAUGUUUAGAAGGUCAGUCUUUUGCUUAUCCAUAACUAGAGUGGGUAAAAUAUAUCCACUCUGAACUGACCCCUGCCAUAAUAGCUGUAUUCUCUUCUUUAUAGGUGAUGCUAAAGGUGAUAGGAAUUCUGAACAGACUCUCCAGAGAAAAUUCAGAGCAGCAAACUAAGAGUGUUACUGGAUUACCAAGAUGCUUCAUUGCAAUAAAAGAUCAAUAAGAAGCAGCAGAAAAUGGGAACUUUACUAAAUCAGGUCUGAACAGAGCUCUUGGAUCCUGGAGAAAGCUGAUGAGAGAUGUCAUUCCACUGACAGAGAAGGAAGAGGAGUAAUAGUAUUCACAUGGAAAUGAAGUGAAGCAAGCCCUGGAAAAUGCUUCACAACAAGAGGAAAAAUUGAGGAAUUAGGAGUGCUUGAAAGAGUGCUUUGUAGUACAGACACUUGUGGGAUGGGAAGAAAAUACUAAACAGUUCUAUAUGAUGACCUCCAAUUUUCUCAAUGAAACAAGACAGCUUUCUCCCUCAUCUCAGUGGAGACAUGGAGAAAGGCCCUGCUUUGCUGCAGGAGUUCUGAAACCAAAAUCAGCUGGUGCCUCUGUACCAACUGUGAUCAUCUCUGUACUAUCAAUGAGCUUGGCUUGCAGGAGCACUUAUUGAAUCAGACACGAGGAUUGAUGCACAGCAGAGCCUCUGGGUGAUGCUGUGGUGGAAACAUUUCACAGACACAAAUCUCUGGGCUUUGUCUGGCCCACAGCAAUGCAG
Serinus canaria (Common canary) is the source of this 790-nucleotide long non-coding RNA. RefSeq lists it as uncharacterized. The record is from RefSeq and is a predicted model, not a curated record. The transcript is spliced from 3 exons. NCBI's taxonomy places the organism in Eukaryota, Metazoa, Chordata, Aves, Passeriformes, Fringillidae.